AUGACUUCGAGCCGCUGCUCGCCUACCUCUCCGACCCCUCCUCCAUCGCCUCGCUCACCUCGCCGUCUCCUCCGCCCUCUGUUCCAGCCCCCGAGCGCCGCCUCGCCGCGUCCUACUACGCCGUGCCGUCGCACCUCGCACGAGUGGCACGCUCUGCUCCGGGGCCUCGCCGCCAGCGACGCGUCCCUGCUGCUCGCCUUCGCGCUGCUCCCCUUCCUCCAGCGCCACCGCCUCUGCUUCCCGCUCGACCUGCUCCUCUCCUCGCUCUCCGUCUCCGAGCGCCUGCUCCCGCACUCGCUGCUGCUCUCCUUCUCGCCCUCCCCGCUCCUGCUCUGCCCCCAACUUCUCCUGCUCCGCCGUGGCCGGAAAGGAAGGGGGACUCGACAUGAGGACCGCUCUCCGCAAGCUAUUCCCUACACUUGGUCCCACGCAUCCCACUACAGUGACAACAGGGAGGCCGUCGAGAAAAGUAGCACCCUGAGUAGGGUGUCGUUGGCGGCCAUCGCAGUGCUACACUACCGUGAGCGGGAUCAAGGAACUGGGUCGUGGAGGGAGGCCCUUGUGUUGCUUUCGGCAAAAGGUGAAAAAUACCUCCGCAUGCACCAUCGAAAGCGUCAAAAUCAUCUACUUGUUGCCUCUUUGUUGACCAUUAUGCGGUUCACCGAUCUGUCAGCUCCGUCCUGCGGAGACACGAUGUUGAGUGAGAGGAUGCAUCAAUGUCGACGGCCGGGCAUGCACCUCUCGCAAAAGACUGACACGUCCAACAAUCAUACAUAUGUUGUCAACUCUCCGCUUCGAUGGCGGUGGCUAGGUCAACCUAGUAAGAAUUCACCCUUCCAAAGCACGAAACUUGCAGAUUGCCACCCAUCUUCAGUCACACUUGAGACCAGAGAGACUGAAAUUGGAGGCGCUGGAAUAGACCUCAUCUUCCUGGAAACCAGAGCAGUAACUAUCAAUCAGAUUUAUACCAAAGUGAAUCCCUACUACCCCCUAACUGAAAAAGGAAAAGGCACGAGCGAGCAGCGGCAGCAGCAGGGACACGCACGAGCGCGAGAGCAGCAGCAGUCGCCGCGCACGGGCUCGCCAGCGAGCAGUGGCAGCAGCAGGGACGCGCACGGGCUCGCCAGCGCGACAGGGGACAGGAAAAUAAAUCAAACAGGGGUCAAACAUACCUCUGGUGUAGCCGCUGCUGGCGACAUUGGAGUGCUCGACGUCUAUUCUUGUAGCUCCGGCGAACUCGACAAAAUAACAAUCCGGGUUGGGCACUCCAUUGAACUGUGUUCGACAAGGACACGGCCUGCAAUCCGAUCCAAAUCAGGCACGGGUCUCGUGCACGAGCACGGCGCCGCUCACGUCCCGCAGCCCCUGAAGCAAGCUGUUGACGCUUGCAUCGUCAAGCUGCAGCCGCCGUUGCUGGCUCCAGGACAACACCUCCUCCUCGUCGCCCGUCAAACCACCGGCCCGGCCCCGGCGCCAUCGGCAACGGCCCAACGUCGUGCUGCCGCGCCCGAGCCCCGGCGAGGCGGCCUCCAUCCUCCCAAGCGAGCACGCCGGCCGCCGCCAAUCCCUCGCGACCGCUGUAGCCCUCGCGAAGCCCCCGCCGGAGCGCCACCGGCCUGCGUCCUCCUGCGCCUCCUCGACCCCGCCUCCUCGCGCCCGCGCGCCGCCGCCUCGGCCUCGCCUCUUCGGCGACAAGCCCCCUCCGGAGCUUCCCGAGCUCGCUCGCCUCCUCGCCGGAAGCCGCCGCCGCCGGGAAUGGAUUCGCCAACUCCAGCUGCGACGCCUCGACCCGUUCCGGGAAUGGAUAAGUGGUGGAGCUGGCCGGUGGUGGCAGGGAAUUUCCAGAAAUUGCACGCCGCCGCCGCCGCCGAUGCCGCCGUCAGAUCACACCACGCUACCGCAGCCGUCGCCAUAUCACACCACGCAGCCGUUCAUGACUUCCGGCAAGCCCCGAUCCGGAUUCCUUCGGUUCCCAUAUCACACGACGCCGCCGCCGCCGCCACCAUAUCACACCACGCCGCCGCUGCCGUCGCCAUAUCACACUACGCAGCCGUUCAUGACUUCCGGCAAGCCCCGAUCCGGAUUCCCUCGGUUCCCAUAUCACACGACGACGCCGUCGCCGCCACCAUAUCACACCAUGCCGCCGCUGUCGUGCAGCCAUUCAUGAGUUUGGGAAAACCCAAUUUGGAUUCCCUUGGAUCCCCUCCAUCCUCCACACUUGGGCCGCCUCAAGCCCCGCGAUGCCGACGCGCUGGGUUUUGCCAUCACUCCGCACUGACCAGGGAUGAACGCCCCUGCAUCGCCGACCACGGAUGGACACCAUGCUUCUUCUACAUCUCCAGAGCAGCCGCCAUUUUCUUCGGUUAUUUAGGUUCCAGUCAACCCCCGCCUCGCCUGUAUGCGGCCCCCUCACUGAAGUUGCCUGUUUCCUCCCAUGAGGAUAAGUUGCAGGUGCAGGCAGCUAAGAGAAUACUGAACCAUGACCUUGGAUGCUUAGACUGCGGUGGCAGCGGCAACCUUCAGGACAAGUAA
RNAcentral lists this ribosomal RNA (2532 nucleotides) under Triticum aestivum (bread wheat). RNAcentral describes it as "partial small subunit ribosomal RNA". Lineage: Eukaryota; Viridiplantae; Streptophyta; Magnoliopsida; Poales; Poaceae. The record is from RNAcentral.